GACGAACGCUGGCGGCGUGCUUAACACAUGCAAGUCGAACGCUGAAGACCUGGCUUUUGUUGGGUUGGAUGAGUGGCGAACGGGUGAGUAACACGUGAGUAACCUGCCCCCUUCUUUGGGAUAACGCCCGGAAACGGGUGCUAAUACUGGAUAUUCACUGAUCUUCGCAUGGGGGUUGGUGGAAAGGUUUGUUCUGGUGGGGGAUGGGCUCGCGGCCUAUCAGCUUGUUGGUGGGGUGAUGGCCUACCAAGGCUUUGACGGGUAGCCGGCCUGAGAGGGUGACCGGUCACAUUGGGACUGAGAUACGGCCCAAACUCCUACGGGAGGCAGCAGUGGGGAAUAUUGAACAAUGGGCGGAAGCCUGAUGCAGCGACGCCGCGUGAGGGAUGGAGGCCUUCGGGUUGUAAACCUCUUUCGCUCAUGGUCAAGCCGCAACUGUGGGUUGUGGUGAAGGUACUG
Molecule: ribosomal RNA, 459 nt
Filed under: uncultured Actinomyces sp.
Lineage: Bacteria; Bacillati; Actinomycetota; Actinomycetes; Actinomycetales; Actinomycetaceae
Description: bacterial SSU rRNA
Rfam family: Bacterial small subunit ribosomal RNA
Source: RNAcentral